GAUGAACGCUAGCGGCAGGCUUAACACAUGCAAGUCGAGGGGUAUAGGGAGCUUGCUUCCUAGAGACCGGCGCACGGGUGCGUAACGCGUAUGCAAUCUACCUUUUGCAGAGGGAUAGCCCAGAGAAAUUUGGAUUAAUACCUCAUAGUAUGUGAGAAUGGCAUCAUUUUCACAUUAAAGUCACAACGGCAAAAGAUGAGCAUGCGUCCCAUUAGCUUGUUGGUAAGGUAACGGCUUACCAAGGCAACGAUGGGUAGGGGUCCUGAGAGGGAGAUCCCCCCACACUGGUACUGAGACACGGACCAGACUCCUACGGGAGGCAGCAGUGAGGAAUAUUGGACAAUGGGCGCAAGCCUGAUCCAGCCAUGCCGCGUGCAGGAUGACGGUCCUAUGGAUUGUAAACUGCUUUUGUACAGGAAGAACACUGGUUCGUGAACCAGCUUGACGGUACUGUAAGAAUAAGGAUCGGCUAACUCCGUG
RNAcentral lists this ribosomal RNA (480 nucleotides) under uncultured bacterium. RNAcentral describes it as "bacterial SSU rRNA". It matches the Rfam family "Bacterial small subunit ribosomal RNA", at positions 28 to 507 of the family's 1533-position model. The record is from RNAcentral.